Molecule: long non-coding RNA, 642 nt
Filed under: Ananas comosus (pineapple)
Lineage: Eukaryota; Viridiplantae; Streptophyta; Magnoliopsida; Poales; Bromeliaceae
Description: long non-coding RNA (ACOM_LNC019967)
Source: RNAcentral
GUCUCCCCUGUAUUUGCACGGCGUUACACAAGUACAAGAUGUUCAAACAAAGUACAACCACCAUAAUGAAUAUACAACAUUAACAUUCAUUCACCAUUCACUACAGAUUUACCAUUCAGUGUUUAAAUAUAAAACCACAACUAUUAGUUAAAACGUUUCCUACCCGAAAACUGGUUUUGAAAUACUAAGUUACAAAAACCACGAGAAAACCCUUUUAAACUGUUUCCCACACGGAAACCUUUUUCUUUUUAAAACUCGCUACCACGAGGGGUAGAAAACCUUUCUAUUUUACAAAAAUCCACAAAUCUUUAUUAAAUUCAGAAAACCAACUGAAAUCUUGAAUAUUGUAACAUAAUAAAAUACUGAACCAUAUUAGCUGUCUAAGUUAUAUCAACAGAAAUAAAGGGGUUAGCAACUAAACCGAACAAACCGGGUCGGAAGGUCCAUCGACCGCUACAAACGUCUCACGUCUCGUCUAAACCCUCACCGCCCGCAAUUCGUGAAAAUAUGGUGGGGGAGAUGAGAACAUGUAACAUAUCUCCCCUCCCAGUGAGUACCGCAAGCCGACGAAGGCGAUAAGUGCUCACAGGAUCAGGAAGAGAUAAAUAGCAGUAUGGGUAAGUGAAAUACAGUAGCAACGAU